CCAGAGCUGAAGGGCAGCACCGGCCUGCACAUCCAGCUAGAAGCUGGUCCCGUGCUGGGCGAGCUUGUCACAUCAGAGGCAGGAGAAACCAAGCAAGAAACCCUGCUGUAGGCUUAACAGAAACAGCAACCACAGCGCGCAGCACAGCCCCGGUCUCAUGCAUAUGUGAGGCACUGCCCUGACAGCCCAUGCUACAGAAACCAGUCACAAGCAAAGGCCACCUCGCCUGCAAGUGAGAGGGGAGCCUACCGCGAGAUCACUGGGGGCCUAGGGGCAAGGACUCCAGCGACGGCGCUUCCCAGUCUCCCCGUUUCUCCAAAGAGCAUCAAUAAAAGUUGCUCUGCA
Molecule: long non-coding RNA, 345 nt
Organism: Gavialis gangeticus (Gharial)
Lineage: Eukaryota; Metazoa; Chordata; Crocodylia; Gavialidae
Exons: 2
Source: RefSeq, a predicted model, not a curated record